This 247-nucleotide long non-coding RNA is filed under the name Rattus norvegicus (Norway rat). RNAcentral describes it as "long non-coding RNA NONRATT015907". Lineage: Eukaryota; Metazoa; Chordata; Mammalia; Rodentia; Muridae. The record is from RNAcentral.
GUACCAAUACCAUGCAGUUUUUAUCACUAUUGCUCUGCAAUACUGCUUGAGUUCAGGGAUAGUGAUUCCCCCUGAAGUCCUCUUAUUUUUGAGAAUAGUUUUAGCUAUCCUGGGCUUUUUGUUAUUCCAGAUGAAUUUGCAAAUUGUUUUGUCUAGCUCUUUGAAGAAUUGGAUUGGUAUUUUGAUGGGGAUUGCAUUGAAUCUGUAGAUAGCUUUUGGUAAAAUGGCCAUUUUUACUACAUUAAUC